RNAcentral lists this unclassified non-coding RNA (337 nucleotides) under soil metagenome. Its description in RNAcentral is "partial contains 5.8S ribosomal RNA, internal transcribed spacer 2, and large subunit ribosomal RNA". The stretch from base 1 to 120 matches the Rfam family "5.8S ribosomal RNA", at positions 35 to 154 of the family's 154-position model. The record is from RNAcentral.
GAUGAAGAACGUAGCGAAAUGCGAUAAGUAAUGUGAAUUGCAGAAUUCAGUGAAUCAUCGAAUCUUUGAACGCACAUUGCGCCCCUUGGUAUUCCAUGGGGCAUGCCUGUUCGAGCGUCAUUUGUACCUUCAAGCUCUGCUUGGUGUUGGGUGUUUGUCUCGCCUCUGCGCGUAGACUCGCCUCAAAACAAUUGGCAGCCGGCGUAUUGAUUUCGGAGCGCAGUACAUCUCGCGCCUUGCACUCAUAACGACGACGUCCAAAAGUACAUUUUUACACUCUUGACCUCGGAUCAGGUAGGGAUACCCGCUGAACUUAAGCAUAUCAAUAAGCGGAGGA